UGGUACGUUGCCUGCGCCAGUCGAACCCGUGAUCGGGUGAGGGAAUCCGGUGCAAGGCCGGAACUGACGCGCAGCGGUAAGGAAGAGGUCCCGCGCACACGCCACUGGAGGCUCCGCCUCCGGGAAGGCGCCGGGUCCGUCGCCCCGCACCGGCUUCCGGCCGGGGCGAACUUCCGAGUCCGAAGACCUGCUGGCAGCCGUGCCAGGAC
This 209-nucleotide non-coding RNA is filed under the name Streptomyces cacaoi. RNAcentral also lists the same sequence under 1 other name. Lineage: Bacteria; Bacillati; Actinomycetota; Actinomycetes; Kitasatosporales; Streptomycetaceae. The record is from RNAcentral.